UGGUGGAGCGAUUUGUCUGGUUAAUUCCGAUAACGAACGAGACUCUAGCCUAUUAAAUAGUUCGCCGAUCCCGUUACGUCGGCGUCAACUUCUUAGAGGGACAAGUGGCGUUUAGCCACGCGAGAUUGAGCAAUAACA
RNAcentral lists this ribosomal RNA (138 nucleotides) under uncultured eukaryote. RNAcentral describes it as "partial 18S ribosomal RNA". It matches the Rfam family "Eukaryotic small subunit ribosomal RNA", at positions 1299 to 1458 of the family's 1831-position model. The record is from RNAcentral.